UUUGUUUUUUUUUGUUUUGCAUUUUGUUCAUGUCAUGCUUCUCAUAUCAUGUCAUCAUGUGCAUUGCAUUUGCAUACGUGUUCGUCUCUUGCAUCCGAGCAUUUUCCCCGUUGUCCGUUUUGCAAUCCGGCACUCCCAUCUCCUCCGGCGCACCCCUCUUGUUUUCUUUUCGUGAGCGGGUGUUGAACGUUCUCGGAAUAUACCGAGUCUUGUCGAGUGGCCUUGGUAUACCACCGGGAGACCACCGGUCAAGUUUCGUUCCAUUUGGAGGUCGUUUGGUACUCCAACGGUUAACCGGGCAACCGCAAAGUCCGUUUGUGUGUGCAGCAAAAACCCCUCUCUAAACAGCCCAAAACCCAGCAAACUCACUUCCAUGCUCUAGGUCGUUCGAUCACGAUCGUGUGGGCGAAAACCGCACUCCAUUUGGAGCCUCCUAGCUCCCUCUACCUAUAAAUAUGUGUCUCUCCCGAAAUUCUCGCGCAGAUCAACCCUAGCCCUGCUCCCUCUCUGCCGCCGGACGUGUCCGGUCCGGCCGGACGAAAUCCGCCGCCGGGCGUGUCCGGUCCGUCCGGACGAAAUCCGUCGCCGCGCCCGUCCAAUCAGAGGGCGCCACGUCAGCCUCCGCCGGCGCUCUCUCUCUCCUCCGCGCCGCCGGCUCCCCGAGCCCGCUCCUCCAGCCCGCGCGCGCCCCGCCUCCUUGCGCCUCCGCCUCCACGCGCCGCCGCCUUCCUCUCCGCCGGCGCCGCCGCANNNNNNNNNNNNNNNNNNNNNNNNNNNNNNNNNNNNNNNNNNNNNNNNNNNNNNNNNNNNNNNNNNNNNNNNNNNNNNNNNNNNNNNNNNNNNNNNNNNNNNNNNNNNNNNNNNNNNNNNNNNNNNNNNNNNNNNNNNNNNNNNNNNNNNNNNNNNNNNNNNNNNNNNNNNNNNNNNNNNNNNNNNNNNNNNNNNNNNNNNNNNNNNNNNNNNNNNNNNNNNNNNNNNNNNNNNNNNNNNNNNNNNNNNNNNNNNNNNNNNNNNNNNNNNNNNNNNNNNNNNNNNNNNNNNNNNNNNNNNNNNNNNNNNNNNNNNNNNNNNNNNNNNNNNNNNNNNNNNNNNNNNNCGCCCUGCCGCCGCGGACGCCGCCCCGCGCGCCCGGCGCCCCUCCCCGUCCGGCGCCUCCUCCUCUCCACAUCGCCGGCCGCCGUCUCCCCGCAGCUCCGGCGAGUUCGGCCUCCUUGAUCCCGAUCCGAUCUGGGAAAGAGCCCACGGUUGACUUUUCUCUUCUCCCCAAAAAUCACCAAGUCAUUAUAUUUUUACAGCAUGUGGACAGGUUCAUCGCAUCAUAACUCUCUGCAUAUAGCUCCGUUUCGUGCGUGUAAUAUAUCAAAAUGUUUGUCUCGUGAUCCUAUUCAUUUUGUUCUAUUGCACCAUGUUCAUUUGAGUCCAUCUUGAUGCCCAAAUCUCCGGAGCAAGAGUGCUAGUUGCUGUUAUCUGUUGUUACUUAGCAGAACUUGAGGAUUUGUUUUUUUUGUAUUUUUUAAUCUGUGCAUCUUUUGGGCAUGAGCUCUACAUGUGUUUUGUUGUAUGCCAUGCCAUCUUUACAGAGGUGUAUGCCAUGUAUUUUUGUGAUCUCUAUGGUGACUAGCACAGGCAUGCAAACUAGGCCUCGUGAUGUUUCUGAUUUCAGGGACUUAGUAAUUUCUCUAAGUCUUUGUCUGCUGUUAUUUUGUUGUCAUGUAAACUUGAUUCUACAGAGAGAUCCAUGCAUAUUUUAGAGAUGUUCAGUAAGGAUGUUGUGUAGAUAUUAUUGUAAUUGAUCCAUUCCUGCCCUUGUUUGCAAUUAUAGAGUGCCAUAGCAUGACUAAUCUUGCUCUAAUUUUGCUAUAAAAUAUUUCUGGCAGAUUGUUUACGUGUUAUUCAAUUUUGUCAAGCUUGUUGUAGUUGAUCCAUCCAUGCUAUAUAUUUGCUCUUGCCAUGGAUAGCUUCAUAAACAUGCCAUCUUGCUGUAGGUAUUCUUUUUUUGUCAUGCAUUGCUUUGUGGUGAGUGCAUCAAGCUCACCAAGAUGCCUUCAUAUUAUUGUUUCUGCCAUGCUCUGUUUUCUGCUAAGUCUGAAACCUGUUAACGAAACUUGCUAUGUUUACAUGGUUGCCAUCAUAUCUUCUUGUCCUUUUUGGCUCAUGGUCACUAAGGGACUUUUGUCAUAUGAAUUUAUUAGAAUACUGCGAUGCCUUGUUUUGCCAUGUUAAGUUCCUGUAGCAUGUUGUUUCCGUGCUCUGAAUAUUGCUACCUGAUGCUGUUUCAGCCAUGUCCAGUAAUUUCACCAAGUCUGUGAACCUGAUUUCUUUUGCACUUUUGCCAUGCUUGUUUGAGCUUGUUAUGUUGUGAUCUAGCCGUAGCUCAGUGUUCAUCUUUUGUCAAGCAUCUCCUGUAGAUUACUGCGAUAUACUUUGUUGCGAUGUUGGAGUGCUAUAGCAUUGUUACUUGUUGCAUUCUAAGUGCUAUCAUGCUGUUAAUCCCAGAUUCGUGUCAUUCUUGUUUUGCUUGCCAUUUGCAAACCGUGCAUCCGUUUCCGGUGAUCUUUAUAUCGAUUUCGACCGAAAUCAUCUCAUCUUUCCAGUGGCAUGCUUGGUUUGCCAAGUUACUACCUUGUUCAUCUUUUUCCUUCCGGAGCACGCAUAUGCAUCGCAUAUCAUAUCUUGCAUAUCAUUCAUGUUUUGCAUCAUGUUGCUUGUGCAUUUCUCGUGGUUGAUUGUGGUUCCGUUUGCUUGUGUUCUUGUUUGGGUAGAGCCGGGAGACGAGUUCAUGAACGAGGAACCUGUUGAGUACGCUUACGAGGAUCAAGCUUUCGACAACUCUGAGAACCUUGCAGGCAAGAUGACCAUACCCUCGAAAUCACUUCUAUCUUUGCUUUGCUAGUUGUUCGCUCUAUUGCCAUGUUGCGCUACCUACCACUUGCUAUAUCAUGCCUCCCAUAUUGCCAUGUCAAGCCUCUAACCAUCCUUUUCCUAGCAAACCGUUGUUUGGCUAAGUUACCGCUUUUGCUCAGCCCUUCUUAUAGCGUUGCUAGUUGCAGGUGAAGUUGAAGUUUGUUCCAUGUUGGAACAUGGAUAUUUUGGAAUAUCACAAUAUCUCUUAUUUAAUUAAUGCAUAUAUAUAUUUGGUAAAGGGUGGAAGGCUCGGCCUUAUGCCUGGUGUUUUGUUCCACUCUUGCCGCCCUAGUUUCCGUCAUACCGGUAUUAUGUUCCUUGAGUUUGCGUUCCUUACACGGUUGGGUGAUUUAUGGGACCCCCUUGACAGUUCGCCUUGAAUAAAACUCCUCCAGCAAGGCCCAACCUUGGUUUUACCAUUUGCCACCUAAGCCUUUUCCCCCGGGUUUUCGCGAGCCCGAGGGUCAUCUUUAUUUUAACCCCCCCGGGCCAGUGCUCCUUCGAGUGUUGGUACGAACUGAGUAGACUGCGGGGCCCCUUGUGGAAACUCGAGGUCUGGUUUUACUCGUAGGAUGUCUCAUCCGGUGUUGCCCUGAGAACGAGAUAUGUGCAGCUCCUAUCGGGAUUUGUCGGCACAUCGGGCGGCUUUGCUGGUCUUGUUUUACCAUUGUCGAAAUGUCUUGUAAACCGGGAUUCUGAGACUGAUCGGGUCUUUCCGGGAGAAGGUUUAUCCUUCGUUGACCGUGAGAGCUUAUGAUGGGCUAAGUUGGGACACCCCUGCAGUGUAAUAUCUUUCGAAAGCCGUGCCGGCGGUUAUGAGGCAGAUGGGAAUUUGUUAAUGUCCGGUUGUAGAGAACUUGUCACUUGACUUAAUUAAAAUACAUCAACCGUGUGUGUAGCCGUGAUGGUCUCUUCUCGGCGGAGUCCGGGAAGUGAACACGGUUUGAGUUAUGAAUGACGUAAGUAGGAGUUCAGGAUCACUUCUUGGUCAUUACUAGAUGACGACCGUUCCGUUGCUUCUCUUCUCGCUCUCUUUUGCGUAUGUUAGCCACCAUAUAUGCUUAGUGCCUGCUGCAGCUCCACCUCAUUACACAAUCCUUUCCUAUAAGCUUAAAUAGUCUUGAUCUCGCGGGUGUGAGAUUGCUGAGUCCUCGUGACUCACAGAUUCUACCAAAACAGUUGCAGGUGCCGACGAUGCCAGUGCAGUUGAUGAGAUCGACCUCAAGUGGGAGUUCGAUGAGGAACGUGGUCGUUACUAUGUGUCUUUUCUUGAUGAUCAGUAGUGGAUCCCAGUUGGGACGAUCGGGGAUCUAGCAUUUGGGGUUAUCUUAUUUUCAUUUGGAUUUUGACCGUAGUCGGUCUAUGUGUGUAUUUUGGAUGAUGUAUGGAUUAUAUUUAUGUAUUGUGUGAAGUGGCGAUUGUAAGCCAACUCUCGUUAUCCCAUUCUUGUUCAUUACAUGGGAUUGUGUGAAGAUGACCCUUCUUGCGACAAAACCACAAUGCGGUUAUGCCUCUAAGUCGUGCCUCGACACGUGGGAAAUAUAGCCGCAUCGUGGGCGUUACAAGUUGGUAAUCAGAGCCAUCCCCGACUUAGGAGCCCCCUGCUUGAUCGAAUCGCUGGCGUUGUUGAGUUUAGAACUAAAAUGUUUUGAGUCUUAGGAUUAUAUAUAUAUCGGAGAGUAGGAUUCUUUUUACUCCUCAGUCUCUUCGUCGCUCUGGUGAGGUCUCCUGACGUAGAAGUUUUGACUCUUCUCUCCUCAAAUUUCACUAAAAAAAAUUUAGGAUCACGCGGGUAUCUUAGAAUCGUUCCGAUGGUUUUGUGAUGAGAACAUUGUUCUUGGUGCCUCCUGACAUUUAGGGGUUGUGGCAGUGUCCCGGGGAGUUGAGCUCCGAGGUGUUGUCGUCACAAUUUUAUCGUUGCAGUUCUGGAAUACCUGAGUUUCGCCGACAUCGAAAUCUCUUUUAUGCAGUUGUUGGUGAGAUCACCUCGACGCCACCCAGUACUGGGGCGGGAGUUCGGGAGUAUUGCCAUAACUCGUAUAACGGAUGCUUUUCGAAGGUUGAGGUACUCGAUUUCCGAAGGUUUCUUGGUUAUGUGUUGACGGAUGGAUACAGCUGGAUCUAGGGAUUGCUAGUUUGGGUGAUAUAUUUUGUGUCCCCUGUAUCCCCAACACCAGAUUGCAUAACCAGAAAGUUUCGGGAGUUUAUAAGUGGGAAUUCAAGUAGCUCUUAGGAUAUCUUUCCGAGAGACGCAUGAUAUGAGAUUGGGGUUCGACGUCUAGUGGUCCGCCUUUCCACGGUUGGUUUUACAGUGGUCUCAUAGUGUCUUAAAGAGUCCUUGGCUAUGCCGACUCGGGGACGCUUCGUAUGUCAUGUGCACAACCUUGUACAUGAUGAUGCUGUACGAUCGAGCCCGUGUGGGCCCCACCACGAAAACUUCGGACGAAAUCUCUAUCAUAUGUUUGUUCCGGCUUAUUCUGCAAGCCAAUACUUUGUUUUGUUUUGAAUUGUGGUAUUCGAGUUGCUUCGAAGCCAAAUGUUGAUUCCAUAUUUUUUUCUAAGUGGCUUCUCAACUAAACGGAAGUGUGAUGAUUUACUAUGGAAUUCAUUCGUUCAUCCUCGUUCGAAUGUUUAUUGUGAAGACUAUAUGUUGCAAUUUCUAUCCGUUGAUUCUACUUGUCUUUUUGUCUAUCAAGAUGCUAACGGAUGUCAGCCUCUUCAGGAUGGCUCCGCCAACGCGUCAGAAUCCGGAACGCAAUGAUGGGAGUCAGGCGAACCCUCCGCCACCACCUCCGCCUCCGGAGGCAUGGCAAGCUAUCAUGGCAGCCACCAACGCCAAUGCUCAGAUGAUUCUGCAACUCUUGCAAGAACGCACCCAAGGGCAAGGCAAUCAAGGAAAUCAAGGUCAAGGCAACAAUCAGCCUCACUUCGCUACCCUCAACCAGCUUCUCGCAAAUCAGCCCAAGUCUUUCAGCUACUGUGCCGAGGCCACGGAUGCCGAUGAUUGGCUCGUGGACAUCAACAAGCAUUUUGAAUGUAGCAAUGUCAGGCCUGAGGACUAUGUCAAGUUCACUUCUUUUCAGCUCAAGGACCAAGCUGCUGAUUGGUAUCAACAAUACAAAGAUUCCAGAGGAGGUCGUGUGAUCACUUGGACUGACUUCUGUCGGGACUUCAAAGUGCACCACAUUCCACAGUGUUGUUGAGAGCAAGCGUGAGGAGUUCCGCAAUCUCAAGCAAGGCAACAUGUCUGUGUAUCAAUUCAACAUCCUGUUUCAGAAACUUGCUCGCUUCGCUAAACAAGACGUUCCAGAUGAAAAGAGCAUGAUCUAUCACUUCAGAGGUGGCCUUAGAGAGGAUCUGCAGUUAGCUCUCGUUCUUGUUGAUCCUACUCAGUUUGAUCAAUUCUACAAUAUGGCACUGAAGCAAGAGGCUGCUCAGCUCAAGUGUGAGGCUUCUAAGAAGAGAGUCAGAGACACAGUUCAGUAUUCUUCUUCCUCACUAGUGGCUGCUAAGCAACAGAAGUUCUGGUUGCCUCCUCCUCCUCCGUUUCGUCAGCCUUACCAGCAGAAGAACAAAGGUGGCCAUGGAUCUUCCCCCUCUUCCAACUCUGGCUAUCAGAACAAGUCUCAGAAUCAAGCUCCAAAGUCCAAUGCUCCUUAUCACCGUCCACUCUCAGAGGUGACUUGCAACAAGUGUCAGCAGAAAGGUCACUAUGCUAACAAGUGCUUCAACCAAAGGCGUCUUCCGCCUCCUCCUCCUGUCAGAUCUUCCAGCAAUGUAGUGGUCAAGCAUAAUCCAAAGUCUGCAAAGGUGAACAUGAUGAAUGCAGCUCAAGCAGAGGAAUCUACUGAUGUGAUAAUGGGUAAUCUCUCAGUUAAUGAUAUUCCUGCAAAAGUCUUAUUUGAUACUGGUGCAUCGCAUUCUUUUUUGUCAUACCCUUUUGCAUCGAAGCACAAUGUUGACACAGAGAUUUUAUCCAAAGUUAUGCAAGUUGUUUCUCCGGGAAAGCUUUUGACUUCUAGUUUGGUUGCUCCCGAUGUUUCCAUCAAGAUGGGGAACUAUAAAUUUCUGUUUUCUCCAGUUGUUCUUGGUGACUCGGAUAUUGAUCUAAUUCUCGGAAUGGACUGGCUUUCUAAGCACAAGGCUCAACUUGAUUGUGCUGCCAAGGAAAUUCAAUUGACACACUCUUCUGAGGAUGUUAUCAUUUAUGCCGCUCGUUAUGAAACCAUUCGGUUGUUUUCUCUCAAUGAGAAGGGCGAAUUGAAUGCCAUCUCUCAGAUUCCAGUCGUUUGUGAGUACCAAGAUGUCUUUCCAGAAGAGCUUCCGGGUAUGAAGUGGCGAUUGUAAGCCAACUCUCGUUAUCCCAUUCUUGUUCAUUACAUGGGAUUGUGUGAAGAUGACCCUUCUUGCGACAAAACCACAAUGCGGUUAUGCCUCUAAGUCGUGCCUCGACACGUGGGAGAUAUAGUCGCAUCGUGGGCGUUACAUGCAUGAUUUAAAUACUUUGUGUGGUGAAGAUAGAGCAUAGCUAGACUAUAAGAUUUUCUAGGGAUAACUUUCUUUGGCCAUGUUAUUUUGAGAAGACAUAAUUGCUUAGUUAGUAUGCUUGAAGUAUUAUUAUUUUUAUGUCAAUAUUAAAUUUUUGUCUUGAAUCUUUCGGAUCUGAAUAUUCAUACCACAAUUAAGAGAAUUACAUUGAAAUUAUGCCAACUAGCAUUCCACAUCAAAAAUUCUAUUUUUAUCAUUUACCUACUCGAGGACGGGCAUGAAUUAAGCUUGGGAAUGCUUGAUACGUCUCCAACGUAUCUAUAAUUUUUGAUUGUUCCAUGCUAUAUUAUAUUCUGUUUUGGACAUUAAUGGGCUUUGUAUACACUUUUAUAUUAUUUUUGGGACUAACCUAUUAACCAGAUGCCCAGCCCAGAAUUGUUGUUUUUUGCCUAUUUCAGAGUUUCGCAGAAAAAGAAUAUCAAACGGAGUCCAAACGGAAUGAAACCUUCAGGAACGUGAUUUGCGGAACGAACGUGAUCCAGAGGACUUGGACCCUACGUCAAGAAAGCUAAGCUACCAGGAAGGCAAGAGGUAGGGGGGCGCGCCUACCCCCUGGGCGCGGCCUCCACCCUCGUGGGCCCCACGUUGCUCCACCGACGUACUUCUUCCUCCUAUAUAUACCUACGUACCCACAAACUACCAGAUACGGAGCCAAAAACCAAAUUCCACCGCCGCAACCUUUUGUACCAGUGAGAUCCCAUCUUGGGGCCUUUUCCGGAGCUCCGCCGGAGGGGGCAUCGAUCACGGAGGGCUUCUACAUCAACACCAUAGCCUCUCCGAUGAUGUGUGAGUAGUUUACCUCAGACCUUCGGGUCCAUAGUUAUUAGCUAGAUGUCUUCUUCUCUCUCUUUGGAUCUCAAUACAAAGUUCUCCACGAUUCUCGUGGAGAUCUAUUCGAUGUAAUCUUCUUUUGCGGUGUGUUUGUUGAGACCGAUGAAUUGUGGGUUUGUGAUGUAUUUUAUCUAUGAACAAUAUUUGAAUCUUCUCUGAAUUCUUUUAUGUAUGAUUGGUUAUCUUUGCAAGUCUCUUUGAAUUAUCAGUUUGGUUUGGCCUACUAGAUUGAUCUUUCUUGCAAUGGGAGAAGUGCUUAGCUUUGGGUUCAAUCUUGCGGUGUCCUUUCCCCGUGACAGUAGGGGCAGCAAGGCACGUAUUGUAUUGUUUCCAUUGAGGAUAACAAGAUGGGGUUUAUAUCAUAUUGCAUGAGUUUAUCCCUCUACAUCAUGUCAUCUUACUUAAAUCAUUACUCUGUUCUUUUGAACUUAAUACUCUAGAUGCAUGCUGGAUAGCAGUCGAUGUGUGGAGUAGUAGUAGUAGAUGCAGGCAGGAGUCGGUCUACUUGUCGCGGAUGUGAUGCCUAUAUACAUGAUCAUACCUAGAUAUUCUCAUUACUAUGCUCAAUUCUGUCAAUUGCUCAAUAGUAAUUUGUUCACCCACUGUAAUACUUAUGCUCUCGAGAGAAGCCACUAGUGAAACCUAUGGCCCCCGGGUCUAUUUUCCAUCAUAUAAAUCUUCCAACACUUAGCUAUUUUUAUUGCCUUUUAUUUUACUUUGCAUCUUUAUCAUAAAAAUACCAAAAAUAUUAUCUUAUCAUAUCUAUCAGAUCUCACUCUCGUAAGUGACCGUUGAGGGAUUGACAACCCCUUUAUCGCGUUGGUUGCGAGGUUCUUGUUUGUUUGUGUAGGUGCGGGGGACUCGUGCGUGGUCUCCUACUGGAUUGAUACCUUGGUUCUCAAAAACUGGGGGAAAUACUUACGCUACUUUACUGCAUCACCCUUUCCUCUUCAAGGGAAAACAAACGCAGUGCUCAAGAGGUAGCAGGGCCCAGAGAUACCUCUCCGACAAUCGGAGUGACAAAUCCUAAUCUCGAAAUAUGCCAACCCAACAAGUACCUUCAGAGACACCUGUAGAGCACCUUUAUAAUCACCCAGUUACGUUGUGACAUUUGGUAGCACACAAAGUGUUCCUCCGGUAAACGGGAGUUGCAUAAUCUCAUAGUCAUAGGAACAUGUAUAAGUCAUGAAGAAAGCAGUAGCAACAUACUAAAUGAUCGAGUGCUAAGCUAACGGAAUGGGUCAAGUCAAUCACAUCAUUCUCCAAAUGAUGUGAUCCUGUUAAUCAAAUGACAACUCAUGUCUAUGGCUAGGAAACAUAACCAUCUUUGAUCAACGAGCUAGUCAAGUAGAGGCAUACUAGUGACACUAUGUUUGUCUAUGUAUUCACACAUGUAUUAUGUUUCCGGUUAAUACAAUUCUAGCAUGAAUAAUAAACAUUUAUCAUGAUAUGACGAAAUAAAUAAUAACUUUAUUAUUGCCUCUAGGGCAUAUUUCCUUCACGACAUCCCUGAUGCUUUUUCUUGGAGAUGGACAACAUUGGGUCAAUACUCGGUGUAUUCCACCCAUAGAAUGUUGUGCCAAGGCAUGCCUAGGUCCCUACUGCUCCUUGCAUUUGGAAGAGUUGGACACCUCCGAAAUGCAAAAUCUUCAUCUAGCUAGUCGUCUAAUACUAGGUAUGGACCUCCGGUCCUCGUCACCACCAUGACCUAUAAUAGACUACCUCUCCAUGCUUUAUUUCCUACCAGGAGGGCACAGUUGAUCACAUCCUCAUGCACUGUGUUUAUGCAAGAAGCCUUGGCACAAAUGCUUCAUGGAACUAAGGGCUACAACCGAACUGGGCAAAUUUGUCCCCUCAAACGUCUGUGGACACGUCGUCCGGGUGUGUCCGUUUUGAGUCUCUAUUUGUACGUGCACACAUCCAUGUCCUCAAAUUUUUUCUCUAUACGUCUAGUCACAUGCAUGAGAUUGGUGGAGAUGGAGAGAGGAAGAAAAGAGAGACAAUAAAGAUGGUCCGUGGUGGGCCAAAUCCUAUGUGGCAGACGUAGGACCACUGGCUGGAGUAUGAGUGGCGGACAACCCGAACGUUUAGGAAGGUUUUGAGGGGUCCGGUUGGGUCAAAAUUUUCUUCUUUCCUGUCCGGUCAGUGGUCAUGCAUCCACCAAGUCAAUUUGGGGAGUCCGGCUGUAGAUGCUCUAAGAAUCCAAGUGGCCAUCCCGACGACUGCAUUGAGUGGUGGUUGAGAUCUAGAAAGCCCCUACCGAAGAUCGAAGAAGGGAUUCAACUCUCUAGUCAUUGCUUGGACCGUUCGGAAAUAUGGAAUGCGGUCUUCGGGAAUAUGGACUCAUCCCGGCUCUUGUGAACCACAUUCGUGAACUCCAGACCUAGAGGGCCGUCGUAGCAGUGUUUACAACAUUUCAUGAGAGUAGCUUUUUAGGCUUGUGGUGUGGUGUCUUGUGGCAUGGGUUGCAUAACAAUACAAACUAGAUAAUUCCCCGUGUGUUGCUGCGGGAAUAUAAGGUAAAAAAACAUUGAUGAUUAACAUUUUGAUGAUCAGACAUGUUAUGAGUUUGGGGGGGGUGCAGUUUACUUUUCACUCUCCUGUAUUCAGGACUAUGUAGGUGUUGACAACGGUAAAUCCUCAUCAAUAAAAAUGUUUGGAAGUACAUCAUCAAAUACUUGGCAGUUACAUACUUUCCAAAUGUACCAGGUCUCAAGAUAACAAUUUCCAUGCCAAAUAGUUUAUUAACACAUUGUUUAAAAAUAUCUAUAUCCCUCCAAUAGUUUAGAUGCCUUUCCUCCAUCAGCAUUGCAAGACAAAUGAAAAGUCCAAGAAAAGUGCAAUUAUAUUACUCGACAUGAGCACCUUAGCUGGCAGAAGAUCUCUAAAGCAAACUAAAAUGGAUUGGAACUUGAGUUGCCCAUCAGCUGUUUGCAAUCUUUCAGUGUGGGAAAAGAUCAGGAGAGCCCUCAACUUUUAAUAUGCCCACCAAAGACUAAGCACCAUUGAAGUAGUACUUAUGGGUAGCAACUUAAAUCUGCUUAGCCUACUAACAUACUGUUCACAACUACAAAAUAAAAACAGUGUUGGAACUAUGAAGUUUCUUAGUGGAAAACAAAACAUAUCCCACCAUUAACUAUAGUGCAGAGAUGAAGUGAUUUUCCAGUAGAAAGCAACCAUUUGUUGUCAAUGAUAUACUCGACAUGGUGUUAAAUGACAGAACAUGACUGCACCUUUAAUAUUUAAUCCAUGUCUUCAUCUAUUGAGAUGGCAAUAUAGAUUACAAAGUUUCUCGGUACAGUGCCAAAACAUGAGCGGUAUGACAUCAAAUCCAUUGAUUUGUAUCUUUUAAAUUUCAAAUGAAAGUUGUUAUGUGGCCAAAGUCCUCCCCAACUUCAUCAUGACAAAAGAGAACAGAUCCGCAAGAACAGUGAAAUAAGCAUAAUGGUAUGCAUUGAUAAUCCAACUCAGCAGCCUUGCCACAUCACCAAUUACUCUUAUUUAUCUUCAGGUGCAGCUUUCCACCUCAGAAUUUUUUCCAACAAAUUCGUUCUGGUAACUGAAGCGGGCCUCUUUGGUAUUCCGUAACAGAUGAGUUGGUGUAAUAACAGACAAAGAGAAUCCCAUAGAAGCCCAUCGGCCGAUCUCUUCAUAUAUCUUAACAUCCCCUGCAUCACAAUGUCACCAACCGGAUACUUCAUAAUGUUGGGGAACGUAGUAAUUUCAAAAAAAUUCCUACGCACACACAGGAUCAUGGUGAUGCAUAGCAACGAGAGAGGAGAGUGUGUCCACGUACCCUCGUAGACCGAAAGCGGAAGCGUUAGCACAACGCGGUUGAUGUAGUCGUACGUCUUCACGAUCCGACCGAUCAAGUACCGAACGCACGGCACCUCCGAGUUCAGCACACGUUCAGCUCGAUGACGUCCCUCGAACUCCGAUCCAGCCGAGCUUGGAGGGAGAGUUUAGUCAGCAUGGCGGCGUGGUGACGAUGAUGAUGUUCUACCGACGCAGGAAUUCGCCAAAGCACCGCUACGAUAUUAUCGAGGUGGAUUCUGGUGGAGGGGGGCACCGCACACGGCUAAGAGAUCAAUGAUCAAUUGUUGUGUCUAUGGGGUGCCCCCUGCCCCCGUAUAUAAAGGAGCAAGGGGGGAGAGGCGGCCGGCCAGGAGGAGGCGCGCCAGGAGGAGUCCUACUCCCACCGGGAGUAGGACUCCCUCCCUUCCUUGUUGGAUUAGGAGAAGGGGGGAAGGAGGAGGGAGAGAGGAAGGAAAGGGGGGCGCCGCGCCCCCCUCCUUGUCCAAUUCGGACUAGAGGGGGAGGGGGCGCGCGGCCUGCCCUGGCCGCCCCUCCUCUUCUCCACUAAGGCCCAUGUAGGCCCAUUAAACCCCCGGGGGGUUCCGGUAACCCCCGGUACUCCGGUAUAUAUCCGAUAACCCCCGGAACCAUUCCGGUGUCCGAAUAUAGUCGUCCAAUAUAUCAAUCUUCAUGUCUCGACCAUUUCGAGACUCCUCGUCAUGUCCGUGAUCACAUCCGGGACUCCGAACUACCUUCGGUACAUCAAAAUACAUAAACUCAUAAUAUAACCGUCAUCAAACUUUAAGCGUGCGGACCCUACGGGUUCGAGAACUAUGUAGACAUGACCGAGACACGUCUCCGGUCAAUAACCAAUAGUGGAACAUGGAUGCUCAAAUUGGCUCCCACAUAUUCUACGAAGAUCUUUAUCGGUCAAACCGCAUAACAACAUACGUUCUUCCCUUUCUCAUCGGUAUGUUACUUGCCCGAGAUUCGAUUGUCGGUAUCUUCAUACCUAGUUCAAUCUCGUUACCGGCAAGUCUCUUUACUCGUUUCGUAAUACAUCAUCCCGCAACUAACUCAUUAGUUGCAAUGCUUGCAAGGCUUAAGUGAUGUGCAUUACCGAGUGGGCCCAGAGAUACCUCUCCAACAAUCGGAGUGACAAAUCCUAAUCUCGAAAUACACCAACCCAACAAGUACCUUUGGAGACACCUGUAGAGCACCUUUAUAAUCACCCAGUUAUGUUGUGACGUUUGGUAGCACACAAAGUGUUCCUCCGGUAAACGGGAGUUGCAUAAUCUCAUAGUCAUAGGAACAUGAAUAAGUCAUGAAGAAAGCAAUAGCAACAUACUAAACGAUCGAGUGCUAAGCAUGGGUAAAGUCAAUCACAUCAUUCUCCUAAUGAUGUGAUCCCGUUAAUCAAAUGACAACGCAUGUCAAUGGCUAGGAAACAUAACCAUCUUUUAUCAACGAGCUAGUCAAGUAGAGGCAUACUAGUGACACUCUGUUUGUCUAUGUAUUCACACAAGUAUUAUGUUUCCGGUUAAUACAAUUCUAGCAUGAAUAAUAAACAUUUAUCAUGAUAUAAGGAAAUAAAUAAUAACUUUAUUAUUGCCUCUAGGGCAUAUUUCCUUCAGUCUCCCACUUGCACUAGAGUCAAUAAUCUAGAUUACACAGUAAUGAUUCUAACACCCAUGGAGCCUUGGUGCUGAUCAUGUUUCGCUCGUGAGAGAGGCUUAGUCAACGGGUCUGCAACAUUCAGAUCCGUAUGUAUCUUGCAAAUCUCUAUGUCUCCCACCUGGACUAGAUCCCGGAUGGAAUUGAAGCAUCUCUUGAUGUGCUUGGUUCUCUUGUGAAAUCUGGAUUCCUUUGCCAAGGCAAUUGCACCAGUAUUGUCACAAAAGAUUUUCAUUGGACCCGAUGCACUAGGUAUGACACCUAGAUCGGAUAUGAACUCCUUCAUCCAGACUCCUUCAUUUGCUGCUUUUGAAGCAGCUAUGUACUCCGCUUCACACGUAGAUCCCGCCACAACGCUUUCUUUAGAACUGCACCAACUGACAGCUCCACCGUUCAAUGUAAACACGUAUCCGGUUUGCGAUUUAGAAUCGUCCGAAUCAGUGUCAAAGCUUGCAUCGACGUACCAUUUACGACUGGCUCUUUGUCACCUCAAUAAACGAGAAACAUAUCCUUAGUCCUUUUCAGGUAUUUUAGGAUGUUCUUGACCGCUGUCCAGUGAUCCACUCCUGGAUUACUUUGGUACCUCCCUGCUAAACUUAUAGCAAGGCACACAUCAGGUCUGGUACACAGCAUUGCAUACAUGAUAGAGCGUAUGGCUGAAGCAUAUGGAACAUCUUUCAUCUUCUCUCUAUCUUCUGCAGUGGUCGGGCAUUGUGUCUUUCUCAACUUCACACCUUGUAACACAGGCAAGAACCCUUUCUUUGCUUGAUCCAUUUUGAACUUCUUCAAAACUUUGUCAAGGUAUGUGCUUUGUGAAAGUCCAAUUAAGCGUCUUGAUCUAUCUCUAUAGAUAUUGAUGCCUAAUAUAUAAGUAGCUUCACCGAGGUCCUUCAUUAAAAAACUCUUAUUCAAGUAUCCCUUUAUGCUAUCCAGAAAUUCUAUAUCAUUUCCAAUCAGCAAUAUGUCAUCCACAUAUAAUAUCAAAAAUGCUACAGAGCUCCCACUCACUUUCUUGUAAAUACAGGCUUCUCCAAAAGUUUGUAUAAAACCAAAUGCUAUGAUCACACUACCAAAGCAUUUAUUCCAACUCCGAGAGGCUUGCACCAGUCCAUAAAUGGAUCGCUGGAGCUUGCACACUUUGUUAGCUCCUUUUGGAUCGACAAAACCUUCCGGUUGCAUCAUAUACAACUCUUCUUCCAGAAAUCCAUUCAGGAAUGCAGUUUUGACAUCCAUUUGCCAAAUUUCAUAAUCAUAAAAUGUGGCAAUUGCUAACAUGAUUCGGACAGACUUAAGCAUCGCUACGGGUGAGAAAGUCUCAUCGUAGUCAAUCCCUUUGAACUUGUCGAAAACCUUUCGCAACAAGUCGAGCUUUAUAGACAGUAACAUUACCGUCAGCGUGAGUCUUCUUCUUGAAGAUCCAUUUAUUCUCAAUGGCUUGCCGAUCAUCGGGCAAGUCAACCAAAGUCCACACUUUGUUCUCAUACAUGGAUCCCAUCUUAGAUUUCAUGGCCUCAAGCCAUUUUGCGGAAUCUGGGCUCACCAUCGCUUCUUCAUAGUUCGUAGGUUCAUCAUGGUCUAGUAACAUAACCUCCAGAACAGGAUUACCGUACCACUCUGGUGUGGAUCUUACUCUGGUUGACCUACGAGGUUCAAUAACAACUUGAUCUGAAGUUUCAUGAUCAUCAUCAUUAACUUCCUCACUAAUUGGUGUAGGUGUCACAGGAACCGGUUUCUGUGAUGAACUACUUUCCAAUAAGGGAGUAGGUACAGUUACCUCAUCAAGUUCUACUUUCCUCCCACUCACUUCUUUCGAGAGAAACUCCUUCUCUAGAAAGAUUCCAAAUUUAGCAACAAAAGUCUUGCCUUCGGAUCUGUGAUAGAAGGUGUACCCAACAGUCUCUUUUGGGUAUCCUAUGAAGACACAUUUUUCCGAUUUGGAUUCGAGCUUAUCAGGUUGAAGCUUUUUCACAUCAGCAUCGCAGCCCCAAACUUUAAGAAACGACAACUUUGGUUUCUUGCCAAACCACAGUUCAUAAGGCGUCGUCUCAACGGAUUUUGAUGGUUCCCUAUUUAACGUGAAUGCAGCCGUCUCUAAAGCAUAACCCCAAAACGAUAGCGGUAAAUCAGUAAGAGACAUCAUAGAUCGCACCAUAUCUAGUAAAGUACGAUUACGACGUUCGGACACACCAUUACGCUGUGGUGUUCCGGGUGGCGUGAGUUGCGAAACUAUUCCGCAUUGUUUCAAAUGAAGACCAAACUCGUAACUCAAAUAUUCUCCUCCACGAUCAGAUUGUAGAAACUUUAUUUUCUUGUUACGGUGAUUUUCAACUUCACUCGAAAUUCUUUGAACUUUUCAAAUGUUUCAGACUUAUGUUUCAUUAAAUAGAUAUACCCAUAUCUACUUAAAUCAUCUGUGAAGGUGAGAAAAUAACGAUACCCGCCGCGAGCCUCAAUAUUCAUCGGACCACAUACAUCUGUAUGUAUGAUUUCCAACAAAUCUGUUGCUCGCUCCAUAGUUCCGGAGAACGGCGUUUUAGUCAUCUUGCCCAUGAGGCACGGUUCGCAAGUACCAAGUGAUUCAUAAUCAAGUGGUUCCAAAAGUCCAUCAGUAUGGAGUUUCUUCAUACGCUUUACACCGAUAUGACCUAAACGGCAGUGCCACAAAUAAGUUGCACUAUCAUUAUCAACUCUGCAUCUUUUGGCUUCAAUAUUAUGAAUAUGUGUAUCACUACUAUCGAGAUUCAACAAAAAUAGACCACUCUUCAAGGAUGCAUGACCAUAAAAGAUAUUACUCAUAUAAAUAGAACAACCAUUAUUCUCUGAUUUAAAUGAAUAACCGUCUCGCAUCAAACAAGAUCCAGAUAUAAUGUUCAUGCUCAACGCUGGCACCAAAUAACAAUUAUUCAGGACUAAAACUAAUCCCGAAGGUAGAUGUAGAGGUAGUGUGCCGACCGCGAUCACAUCGACUUUGGAACCAUUUCCCACGCGCAUCGUCACCUCGUUCUUAGCCAAUCUUCGCUUAAUCCGUAGUCCCUGUUUCGAGUUGCAAAUUUUAGCAACAGAACGAGUAUCAAAUACCCAGGCGCUACUAUGAGCAUUAGUAAGGUACACAUCAAUAACAUGUAUAUCAUAUAUACCUUUGUUCACCUUGCCAUCCUUCUUAUCCGCCAAAUACUUGGGGCAGUUCCGUUUCGAGUGACCAGUCUGUUUGCAGUAGAAGCACUCAGUCUCAGGCUUAGGUCCAGACUUGGGUUUCUUCUUCUGAGCAGCAACUUGUUUGCUGUUCUUCUUGAAGUUCCCCUUCUUCUUCCCUUUGCCAUUUUUCUUGAAACUGGUGGUCUUGUUGACCAUCAACACUUGAUGCUCCUUCUGGAUUUCUACCUCCGCAGCCUUUAGCAUUGCGAAGAGCUCAGGAAUUGUCUUAUCCAUCCCUUGCAUGUUAUAGUUCAUCACGAAGCUCUUGUAGCUUGGUGGCAGUGAUUGAAGAAUUCUGUCAAUGACGCUAUCAUCCGGAAGGUUAACUCCCAGUUGAAUCAAGUGAUUGUUAUACCCAGACAUUUUGAGUAUAUGCUCACUGACAGAACUAUUCUCCUCCAUCUUACAGCUGUAGAACUUAUUGGAGACUUCAUAUCUCUCAAUCCGAGCAUUUGCUUGAAAUAUUAGCUUCAACUCCUGGAACAUCUCAUAUGCUCCAUGAUGUUCAAAACGUCGUUGAAGUCCCGGUUCUAAGCCGUAAAGCAUGGCACACUGAACUAUCGAGUAGUCAUCAGCUUUUCUCUGCCAGACGUUCAUAACAUCUGAUGUUGCUCCUGCAGCAGGUCUGGCAGCUAGCGGUGCUUCCACGACGUAAUUCUUCCAUGCAGCAAUGAGGAUAAUCCUCAAGUUACGGACCCAGUCCGUGUAAUUUCUACCAUCAUCUUUCAACUUUGCUUUCUCAAGGAACGCAUUAAAAUUCAACGGAACAACAGCACGGGACAUCUAUCUACAAUCAACAUAGACAAGCAAAAUACUAUCAGGUACUAAGUCCAUGAUAAAUUUAAGUUCAAUUAAUCAUAUUACUUAAGAACUCCCACUUAGAUAGACAUCCCUCUAAUCCUCUAAGUGAUCACGUGAUCCAAAUCAACUAAACCAUGUCCGAUCAUCACGUGAGAUGGAGUAGUUUCAAUAGUGAACAUCACUAUGUUUAUCAUAUCUACUAUAUGAUUCACGCUCGACCUUUCGGUCUCAGUGUUCCGAGGCCAUAUCUGUUAUAUGCUAGGCUCGUCAAGUUUAACCUGAGUAUUCCGCGUGUGCAACUGUUUUGCACCCGUUGUAUUUGAACGUAGAGCCUAUCACACCCGAUCAUCACGUGGUGUCUCAGCAUGAAGAACUUUCGCAACGGUGCAUACUCAGGGAGAACACUUAUACCUUGAUAAUUUAGCGAGAGAUCAUCUUAUAAUGCUACCGUGAAUCAAAGCAAGAUAAGAUGCAUAAAAGAUAAAAUCACGUGCAAUCAAUAUAAGUGAUAUGAUAUGGCCAUCUUCUUCUUGUGCUUGUGAUCUCCAUCUCCAAAGCACCGUCAUGAUCACCAUCGUCACCGGCGCGACACCUUGAUCUCCAUCGUAGCAUCGUUGCCGUGUCGCCAACUUAUGCUUCUACGAUUAUCGCUACCGCUUAGUGAUAAAGUAAAGCAUUACAGGGCGAUUGCAUUGCAUACAAUAAAGCGACAACCAUAUGGCUCCUACCAGUUGCCGAUAACUCGGUUACAAAACAUGAUCAUCUCAUACAAUAAAAUUUAGCAUCAUGCCUUGACCAUAUCACAUCACAACAUGGCCUGCAAAAACAAGUUAGACGUCCUCUACUUUGUUGUUGCAAGUUUUACGUGGCUGCUAUGGGCUGAGCAAGAACCGUUCUUACCUACGCAUCAAAACCACAACGAUAGUUCGUCAAGUUAGUGCUGUUUUAACCUUCUCAAGAACCGGGCGUAGCCACACUCUGCUCAACUAAAGUCGGAGAAACUGACACCUGCCAGCCACCUGUGUGCAAAGCAUGUCGGUAGAACCAGUCUCGCGUAAGCGUACUCGUAAUGUCGGUCCGGGCCGCUUCAUCCAACAAUACCGCCGAACCAAAGUAUGACAUGCUGGUAAGCAGUAUGACUUGUAUCGCCCACAACUCACUUGUGUUCUACUCGUGCAUAUAACAUCUACGCAUAAAACCAGGCUCGGAUGCCACUAUUGGGGAACGUAGUAAUUUCAAAAAAAUUCCUACGCACACACAGGAUCAUGGUGAUGCAUAGCAAUGAGAUGGGAGAGUGUGUCCACGUACCCUCGUAGACCGAAAGCGGAAGCGUUAGCACAACGCGGUUGAUGUAGUCGUACGUCUUCACGAUCCGACCGAUCAAGUACCGAACGCACGGCACCUCCGAGUUCAGCACACGUUCAACUCGAUGACGUCCCUCGAACUCUGAUCCAGCCGAGCUUUGAGGGAGAGUUUCGUCAGCACAACGGCGUGAUGACGAUGAUGAUGUUCUACCGACGCAAGGCUUCGCCUAAGCACCGCUACGAUAUUAUCGAGGUGGAUUCUGGUGGAGGGGGGCACCGCACACGGCUAAGAGAUCAAUGAUCAAUUGUUGUGUCUAUGGGGUGCCCCCUGCCCCCGUAUAUAAAGGAGCAAGGGGGGAGAGGCGGCCGGCCAGGAGGAGGCGCGCCAGGAGGAGUCCUACUCCCACCGGGAGUAGGACUCCCUCCCUUCCUUGUUGGAUUAGGAGAAGGGGGAAGGAGGAGCGAGAGAGGAAGGAAAGGGGGGGCGCCGCCCCCCUCCUUGUCUAAUUCGGACUAGAGGGGGAGGGGGCGCGCGGCCUGCCCUGGCCGCCCCUCCUCUUCUCCACUAAGGCCCAUGUAGGCCCAUUAAACCCCCGGGGGGUUCCGGUAACCCCCGGUACUCCGGUAUAUAUCCGAUAACCCCCGGAACCAUUCCGGUGUCCGAAUAUAGUCGUCCAAUAUAUCAAUCUUCAUGUCUCGACCAUUUCGAGACUCCUCGUCAUGUCCGUGAUCACAUCCGGGACUCCGAACUACCUUCGGUACAUCAAAAUACAUAAACUCAUAAUAUAACUGUCAUCAAACUUUAAGCGUGCGGACCCUACAGGUUCGAGAACUAUGUAGACAUGACCGAGACACGUCUCCGGUCAAUAACCAAUAGUGGAACCUGGAUGCUCAUAUUGGCUCCCACAUAUUCUACAAAGAUCUUUAUCGGUCAAACCGCAUAACAAUAUACGUUGUUCCCUUUGUCAUCGGUAUGUUAGUUGCUCGAGAUUCGAUCGUCAGUAUCUCAAUACCUAGUUCAAUCUCGUUACCGGUAAGUCUCUUGACUCGUUCCGUAAUACAUCAUCCCGCAACUAACUCAUUAGUUGCAAUGCUUGCAAGGCUUAAGUGAUGUGCAUUACCGACAAUCGGAGUGACAAAUCCUAAUCUCGAAAUACGCCAACCCAACAAAUACCUUUGGAGACACCUAUAGAGCACCUUUAUAAUCACCCAGUUACGUUGUGACGUUUGGUAGCACACAAAGUAUUCCCCCGGUAAACGGGAGUUGCAUAAUCUCAUAGUCAUAGGAACAUGAAUAAGUCAUGAAGAAAGCAAUAGCAACAUACUAAACGAUCGAGUACUAAGCUAACGGAAUGGGUCAAGUCAAUCACAUCAUUCUCCUAAUGAUGUGAUCCCGUUAAUCAAAUGACAACUCAUGUUAAUGGCUAGGAAACAUAAUCAUCUUUGAUCAACGAGCUAGUCAAGUAGAGGCAUACUAGUGACACUCUGUUUGUCUAUGUAUUCACACAAGUAUUAUGUUUCCGGUUAAUACAAUUCUAGUAUGAAUAAUAAACAUUUAUCAUGAUAUAAGGAAAUAAAUAAUAACUUUAUUAUUGCCUUAGGGCAUAUUUCCUUAACAUAAUUCAGUGCCAUCUGGUGUUCAUUGACAAUUCAUGGCAUGAUGGUCCGAUUGAUACUGUGAGUGUUACUAUUUUAAGAAAUAAACAUGCAGGAGCCCCUCUCUUCUCGAAGCCAAACAAACGUUCCGAGGAGUACUGACAACAAAAUCUCCUCGAAACAAACACCAAUUUGCAGAUUGAUUUAGUGAUAGAACUAUAAUCUGGUGCGAAAAGAUAGCAACAUGGUGUAUCGUAAUUGGACAAAAACUAUGUAAACUAUGUGUAUCUAAUAAUUUAGAUAAACUUAUCAAUUGAACUCCAUUCUACGGUGACAUCUAUACUGAAGCAAAACCCACAGUAAUUUGAGCAAGGGAGGUAGUGAGGGAGAGAACCUCGGAAGAAAUCGACAGCAGCGUGGAGGAGUUGUCAAGGCCAAGAGGAGGAGGCGCGCAGGUUGAAGGACCGGCCUCCAACACGCCGCAGUGGAGCAACUCCAGGCAAGGGACGCCGCCUAUGAAGCGAUGCCCACCCGUCACCGGAAGGUCCGGAACGAACCUGAGGUUGGAGACGAUGGAGCGAUGCCACUCCACAGAUUUAGCGGGGGCAGGGGAGGUCGCCGAGAGGCCGCUGGGUCGUUGCUUCAGGGCAGGUGGUCGGGUUUGGGCGCGUCGAGGCCGCAGGGUAGCGAUGCGGUCCCACUGUGUGCUCAGCGGCGGAUUUGGCUGGCGUGCCUUAGAUAUUAUAGAUAUGAUACACAAUUUCCAUACUCUCGAGGAAAAAAUCGACACGGGCCAAGCAAAGUUUCACACUAAUCAUUUGGUGACAACGAAUGGUGGUAGUAGUGGACGCAUCCUCCAUUCAGAUUUCGUUACGUGGAUACGUGCCGAUUGUUUUGCCUUUUAUUGCACGCUUAUGUGUGCUCGACCUUUUGUUUUUGCUUCUAGAGGUAGAACAGAUUCAAUUUAACAAUGAACAAACUUAAAUUUUCUAUAUCGGUUUCCAUAUAUGAUAUGGAAACAUCUUGCAUGUCAAACAUAUUCAGAGAAGGCAUGCCUAUUUCACCAUUUGCAUUGAUAAUUUAAUAGAGCAGACAUUGACCUAUUGCAACAACCUGCUACUGCGCAUGCACACCUUAUUACAAAGCUGACAGGACGAUCACCUAAAGAAGCAACAAAACAGCGGACACGGCGACCGCGCCGAGCAGACCAACUCCGCCGGAGACGGCGUGACGGGAAGAGGAGCUUGCCGGACCAGGCGCUGGGUCGGGCGCGUGAUGAUGUGGUGACGGCGCAGGGGAGUGCUGAGUGGGCGCGUGAGCCGCCGCUGUAACUUGUGCGCUGCCAAGCCGCUCGGUAUGGUUGGGGCCGGAUGCCGACGAGGACGGAGAGUGCGCCGGAGCAUGGUGAUGAUGAUGAUGGCGAUGGCGAUGGUGGUGGUGGUGAGCCGGCGCCGGUGCUGUAGCGUGGUGGCCGUGGUGGUGCGGGCUUGGUGCCUUGUGCAGCUCGUCGACAUCCGUGAUUGUAGCAGUGUCCAGCUCGUCGGCGUCGAUGUGGUGGGUCGGCGACGGGGCCGCAGCAUGGUGGUGGAUCGGCGAAGGCGCCGGAGCUUGGUGAUGAUGGUGGUGGCUCGGCGACGGGGCCNNNNNNNNNNNNNNNNNNNNNNNNNNNNNNNNNNNNNNNNNNNNNNNNNNNNNNNNNNNNNNNNNNNNNNNNNNNNNNNNNNNNNNNNNNNNNNNNNNNNNNNNNNNNNNNNNNNNNNNNNNNNNNNNNNNNNNNNNNNNNNNNNNNNNNNNNNNNNNNNNNNNNNNNNNNNNNNNNNNNNNNNNNNNNNNNNNNNNNNNNNNNNNNNNNNNNNNNNNNNNNNNNNNNNNNNNNNNNNNNNNNNNNNNNNNGGUGGUGGUGGUGGCGGCUCGGCGACGGGGCCGGAGCGUGGUGGUGAUGGUGGUGGCUCGGCGACGGGGCAGGAGCGUGGUGGUGAUGGUGGUGGCUCGGCGACGGGGCAGGAGCGUGGUGAUGAUGAGCGCUCGGCGCGGGGGCAAGAUGGCCAUGAUGGUGAGCGGGGCUCGGCGCUUGAGCCGGCGCGUGGUGGUGGUCCUCGUGCGCCGAGGAGAGCGCGGCCAGCAAGGCCAGCAGCAGUGCCAUCACCACGGCGGUUGGCGAGAGAGGAGUCGCCAUGGCGAGAAGCUUUGGGAGUGGUGGUGGUGGAAUUAUUGCUGUGGUUGUGACAGUCGGGGAGCGCGUCUAUAUAUAGCGACGAGCACUCGUAUCUGGAAGAGGGGAGCGGGCCGUCGUCUCUACUAUGGAAAGUAUUCAAUCUUGCGCAUUAAUGCUUACUAUAGAAAUGCGAUUUCGAUUGAUUCGUUUCCGAUCGUCGAAUUCGCUACACUGGCAGGAAAUAAAUGGGUGCCAGUUAUUCGUAUAUACUGUACUAGCUGGCAGCAUUACGCUGGUAACAUACGGACAUUUGACUGUGAUCUGUCGAAUACCGUGUGACCGUUGAGUAUAUAUACGAUAUUUACAUUGUUGCCCACAGAAAAUCUCGACCAUUUAUUAGAAAAAUCAUAAUUGCAUCAUGAUUAAUAAAAUUAUAUAAAUCUUCCUAAGAAAAAGAGAGGGAAAAAUCUACGACGCUUACAGUAGGCGGCUAAGGCCCAAGGGGCCGUCUGAUCCGGCAAGGUGCUGGCUGGAGCCGGCCCAAAUGUGCAGCGCGCUGGAUCAACCGACGGCUUUGGGCAUGCCAUCCGCCGAGCCCCCCAAGAAAAAUACUCCCUCCGUUCCUUGAUAUAACUAAUGAUGUACAUUGUCUCAAAAGAAAAAACUAAUGAUGUACAAAACUUGGAAGAAAGAACUCGUAGCAUGGAGGUGCACGUUGCAAAAAAUUAUAGAGAGCCCAACAUUGAUUCUAGCCAAGUUCGUUGGAAAGCCAGAACCUAAUCCGGCUAAGAGUGUGCAGAUGAUGGGUGUGAGUCGUUAGACAGCGAUCCAUUCGCGCCGCCCGCAACCUCCAGUUCUCCCGUGCUCCUCAUCUCGCCACCGCAUGAGGUCCUACCAGCGAAGUCCAGGCGGGGCCGGGGACGACAACGACUGGGCGCUUCCCUGCGGCGCCAUCCCUCUCUCCUGGUCUGGUUUCCGUCGAUGGCUGCGACCCGCGGGCGGCACCAGCUAGAUCUGCGGUGGACUGCGUCGGUGGGAUCCGAUGCUCUCCGGUGGGUGUCCGAUGGGGAUCGGCGAUAGUGCGGGAGGUCCCGGUGCGUGGCGGGGCGGCGGUGGGCUGCCAGAAUCGGGGAGGUGGCGCUCUGGUGCUUCCACGCGGCGGUUUCCUCAGGCAGUGUGGGACGGUCUCCUUACUAUGCGGGAUAGGGGCUGCUCGUGCCAUGCCAAGGCCGGCGGCAGCGGUAGUGGUGUGCAUGUGAGACGGCGAUCGGUGGCGUCCUAGACCUAGGGUUAAGUUGUCGUGGGCCUCGAGGGCUGGACCAGAUCUGGCUUGUGGAGGGCCACCACUCUAGUGGCUCGUCUUCUAGGGCUGCCCUAGAGACGAUGCUGGUUGACCUCUUGGACCCGCACCCCCCCACCAUGGUGGGGCUCUCUGCACGUGGACCGACAUUCACUAAUGCAGAAAGGGUCUUGCACGUGGACCAUUAUAAUUUCUCACCUAGAGGCGUCUAAUACACUAUGCACGCCACCAACGUUUUGUGCAGUCAAAAAAUAAUAAUUUUGCACCAUCAUAUAACAAUUUGCAUCUCACAUUGCAGUGGCACAUAUAAAACAGCACAUAAUAGACCAGCAAUAAGUUGAACGAUGGACAAACAUAUGUAGUUAUAUAAAACAAUAUGAGUUAAAUAAACACAAUCUCACAAACACUAGCUAGGUAGUCAUUGUCAACCUGCAUACAUCAUGGCGAACUAAUAUAUAAGCAGUUUACUUAGUAGCAUCGAUGGCCCAGCCACACACAUACUUUUAAAUGAUGUCAAUGAUGAUCAUCAUUCUCAAGUUAUGGUGUCUGGUGUUUCUGAUAGUGACUAAGACCGCCUGUCCAACCUGGAGAUUCUUGCCAAGAGGAAGUUAUUCCUCCCCACCGAGCUUAAGAUAGUGCGACCUUCCGUGUCCACCACGUACACACAGGUGGUGACGGAUCCCCAUGCGGUAAGGCGUACUCCAGUAUAGGCUGGUUGAUCAGGAUCGAUACCACACUUCAAAGAUAGCCUUUUAAGCAAUUUCCAAAGAAAAAAAAUAUCAAUUAAGUAGACUCGCACAUACUCUUGCACGAAUAUCAUACAUAUUUCCUACACUAUGAUAAAUGACCAUGUCAUGCGUAGUUAUCAAAAAAGCAUACAAUUCAUAGAUAUCAUCAGAUUCUACAUUACCAAAUCGAACUCUACUAAGUAUGGAUUUUACACGAGUAAGCAAACCAUGUAUUCUACACACUACUAAAUUUCUACUAAGUAUGGAUUUGUACACUAAAAAUAUUUAACCGAAUAAAAUUCUACACAAAGCAAUCCAUGAAUUCUACACUACUAGAUCGGAUUCUACUAAGUAUGGAUUAUACACUAGUAAGCAAAUCCAUGGAUUCUACACACUACUAAAUUUCUACUAAGUAUGAAUUUCUACACUAAAAUAAUUACACAACUAAAUUUCUACUAAGUAUGGAUUCUACACUAAAAAAACUACACUACUGAAAUUCUGUUUUUUGUGGGAAAACUUCCGAUCUAUUGAUCUUCAAUCAUGGUAGUAUAACGAACACUAGAAAUAAUAAAAAAUACAUCCAGAUCCGUAGACCAUAUAGUGACGACUACAAGCACUGGAUCGAGACGAAAGCGCGUCGCUGUCAUUGCCCCACCCUCGUUGGAGCCGGGCAAAACUUGUUGUAGUAGACAGUCGGGAAGUUGUCGUGCUGCACACGCCCACCGACGAUGCUAGAAGCACCACCGGAACGGGGCCUAGGCGGGGAGAACCUUAUUCCAUCUUCAAGUAGUCGUCGACGUCUCGUCUUCUGAGUAGGACACAUACCCUAACAAAACUCAAAAAAGAUCUAAAAAUGGAGCCCUCCCAUCGGCAAGGGCCGUGAUAUCCACUCCACUCCCAUGGCCCUAAGGCCACCAAAGACUAGGCGGACCGCCGGCGGUGCCGACGGGAGGCAAAGAAACCCUAGCCUUUUAGGAGUACACUACUAAAAUUCAACACAAAGCAAUGCAUGGAUUCUAUACUACUAAAUCAGAUUCUACUAAGUAUGGAUUUUACACUACCAAGAAUUCCAUGUAUUACUAAACUAAGCAUAUCAUCCGACUCUACGUUAAGCAUAUCAUGAAAUUACUACAGUAAGCAUAUCAUCAAAUUACUACACUAAGUAACACCAGUGACAUGGCGGGUAAUUGGUCCUUGUCAGACAGAUCACAAAUGGCACCCCGACGUAGUCAUCACGUGAUGGAAGUAUAUACCAGAGGUUGCCCGUCUAAUCCUCGCUCAGCCUCAUUCUUUGGGCACAAAGGGCUUCAUCAAGUGGGUCCUCAUCUUCUUCUUCCGUGUUGAGAUAGAUGCCAGCCAACCUGGGUCUUCGUCCUCUGAAAGAGAAGCUGAUCAAUUCACCCCUAGUGAGACGCAUGUGGACGAUGACACGAUCCCAUCCAUCUCCUCCCAUCUGGGACAUCUUUAGUCCUUUCUCAACCUCCAAAGUGUAGCCCCCCCAGGAGCCUCGAAGGUCACAAUGUCUCUGGUCAGCUCAUUGAAUUCCAACCUCACAUUACAUGGGAUGAUCUAUGUAAGAAAACACACACACACACACACACACACACACAAAAUGCAUUAAUGGUAAUAGCAAUAAAAACCAAAGAAAUAACUGUUAGAAGGUUCAUAUAAUUUGUUACCACUACAGGAACAAAACUUGGCUGGAAAUAGAUGCCAAACAACAUGCCAGUUUCAAGGAUGCUGGCCCACCUUGAUUUGCAGACAUGGUGGUGGUGGCGCCAUUUUCCUAUUAGUGAAGAUAAUUGUGGCGCCCGGAUAGUUACGCUACAGUAACCCUCCGCUAAUGAUGCCACGUCGUCACGAUUACUGUUGUUAAUCUUGUGAGGAUUCAAAUCCCGUUCAAAUUUCAAAUUUAAAAUCAAGUCAAACAAUUAAAGUUUUCAAAAGUCAAAACUAAAAUGUUCUUAAUGUGACAAAUAAAUCAUGGAUAUUAUUGGUGGAGAAACAACAUCUUUAUAAAAUAAUGAAAUACCCUAAAGUGAUUAAAACAACAACAAAACAAUUAGUUAUACUCCUAAUAUAUUUUACAAAAUGCUAAACUAUUUUAGCUAGGUGCCAAAGUUAUUGUGGCAGUGGUAUAAUUAAUGUUACAAUGUUAGGUGCUAAUUGAAUAUUUUACCAAACUAAAACAAUUUGGGAAAUAAAAUUAAAACAGAAAAGAAAAUAAAUAAAAGGUAAAAGACAAAACAAAAAUGAAAAAGGACCCCCUCACUGGCCUUUGGCCCGGCAGGCCACCAGGCCGCCCAGCCGGCCCACCAGGCCCGGGCCACCCCCCUCAGUCCCCAUAACCUCCCCCCACCGACGGGAAACCCUAGCCCAUNNNNNNNNNNNNNNNNNNNNNNNNNNNNNNNNNNNNNNNNNNNNNNNNNNNNNNNNNNNNNNNNNNNNNNNNNNNNNNNNNNNNNNNNNNNNNNNNNNNNNNNNNNNNNNNNNNNNNNNNNNNNNNNNNNNNNNNNNNNNNNNNNNNNNNNNNNNNNNNNNNNNNNNNNNNNNNNNNNNNNNNNNNNNNNNNNNNNNNNNNNNNNNNNNNNNNNNNNNNNNNNNNNNNNNNNNNNNNNNNNNNNNNNNNNNNNNNNNNNNNNNNNNNNNNNNNNNNNNNNNNNNNNNNNNNNNNNNNNNNNNNNNNNNNNNNNNNNNNNNNNNNNNNNNNNNNNNNNNNNNNNNNNNNNNNNNNNNNNNNNNNNNNNNNNNNNNNNNNNNNNNNNNNNNNNNNNNNNNNNNNNNNNNNNNNNNNNNNNNNNNNNNNNNNNNNNNNNNNNNNNNNNNNNNNNNNNNNNNNNNNNNNNNNNNNNNNNNNNNNNNNNNNNNNNNNNNNNNNNNNNNNNNNNNNNNNNNNNNNNNNNNNNNNNNNNNNNNNNNNNNNNNNNNNNNNNNNNNNNNNNNNNNNNNNNNNNNNNNNNNNNNNNNNNNNNNNNNNNNNNNNNNNNNNNNNNNNNNNNNNNNNNNNNNNNNNNNNNNNNNNNNNNNNNNNNNNNNNNNNNNNNNNNNNNNNNNNNNNNNNNNNNNNNNNNNNNNNNNNNNNNNNNNNNNNNNNNNNNNNNNNNNNNNNNNNNNNNNNNNNNNNNNNNNNNNNNNNNNNNNNNNNNNNNNNNNNNNNNNNNNNNNNNNNNNNNNNNNNNNNNNNNNNNNNNNNNNNNNNNNNNNNNNNNNNNNNNNNNNNNNNNGGCGCCUCGCCUACAACGGCGCCCGCUGCCGAGUGCCCGCUCGGGUGACACCCGCACCCGAGCGCCCGAACCCGUUAAGGCCCCUGGCCCAAUGACAGUCGGGACCCUAGUACCAGAACGUUAAAAAAAGGAAUUAAAGAAAAUAGUAAAUAAGAAAUAAAAAUAUUAACUAAUUAAUUAAUUAACUAAAUUAAUUAAACUUAAUUAAUCCUGUUUAAUUAACCUAAUUAGCUAAUUAACCUAAUUAACUAAUGUUAAUUAACUAAACAGUCAAUGACAUGCGGGACCCUCCCGUCAGUUUGACCCAGUCAACACCUUUGUUGACUGGUGACGUCAUGCUGACGUCAUGCUGAUGCAGUAAUGCCAUUUUUGAAUUAAAUUAGUAAUAAUAAUUUAUAAAUUGAUUUAAAUAUUUAAAAAUGAAUAUAAAAUAAACCGUAACUCGGAUGAAAAUGUUUUGUACAUGAAAGUUGCUCAGAACAACGAGACGAAUCCGGAUACGCAGCCCGUUCGUCCGCCACACAUCCCUAGCAUAGCAAACUCACAACUUUUCCCUCCAAUUCAUCUGUCCGAAAACGCGAAACACAGGGAAUACUUUCCCGGAUGUUUUCCUCCUUCGCCGGUACCACCUCCUACCGCGUUAGGGCACACCUAGCACUGCGCAUUGUCAUGUCUUCUAUCGUCAUGCUUAUGUUUGCAUUAUAUUCAUUGUUUCUUCACCCUCUUCUCUCCGGUAGACUACGAGACCGACGUCGCUGCUGGUGCCCCGACCGACUACGCUGUUGACGACCCCUACUUGCCAGAGAAACCAGGCAAGCCCCCCCCCUUGAUCACCAGAUAUCGCCUAUUCUUCUCUAUACUGCUUGCAUUAGAGUAGUGUAGCAUGUUACUGCUUUCGGUUAAUCCUAUUCUGCUGCAUAGCCUGUCAUCGUUACAACAGUUGUUACCCUUACCUGCUAUCCUACUGCUUAGUAUAGGAUGCUAGUGUUCCAUCAGUGGCCCUACACUCUUGUCCGUCUGCCAUGCUAUACUACUGGGCCGUGAUCACUUCGGGAGGUGAUCACGGGUAUAUACUAUAUACUUUAUACAUGAUACAUGUGGUGACUAAAGUCGGGUCGGCUCGAGGAGUACCCGCGAGUGAUUCACGGAUUGGGGGCUGAAAGGACCUUUGUCCCGACGGCCCUCUGGGUGGAUCUUUGUGGCGGAGCGACAGGGCAGGUUGAGACCGCCUAGGUGAGAGGUGGGCCUGGCCCUGGUCGGUGUCCGCGGUUACAUCAAAUAACAUGCUUAACGAGUUCUUGGUAUUUGAUCUGAGUCUGGCCAUUUGGUUUAUGCGCACUAACCAACUACGCGGGAACAGUUAUGGGAACUCGACGUCGUGGUAUCAGUCGAAGCCUUCGUGACGUCAGCGACUGAGCGGCGCGCCCCAGAUUGGACUGGAACGCCUGCUAGGCUAGGUCUGCUUCCGGCCGCGUUCGCAACGUGCAGGUGUGCAAUGGGCGAUGGGCCCAGACCCCUGCGCCAUAGGAUUUAGACCGGCGUGCUGACCUCUCUGUUGUGCCUAGGUGGGGCUGCGACAUGUUGAUCUUCCGAGGCCGGGCAUGACCCAGGAAAGUGUGUCCGGCCAAAUGGGAUCGAGCGUGUUGGGUUAUGUGGUGCACACCUGCAGGGAAGUUUAUCUAUUCGAAUAGCCGUGUACCUUGGUAAAAGGACGACCCGGAGAUGUACCUUGACCUUAUGACAACUAGAACCGGAUACUUAAUAAAACACACCCUUCCAAGUGCCAGAUACAACCCGGUGAUCGCUCUCUAACAGGGCGACGAGGAGGGGAUCGCCGGGUAGGAUUAUGCUAUGCGAUGCUACUUGGUGAACUUACCAUCUACUCUCUUCUACAUGCUGCAAGAUGGAGGUGG
RNAcentral lists this long non-coding RNA (29968 nucleotides) under Triticum aestivum (bread wheat). RNAcentral's name for it is "long non-coding RNA (TAES_LNC024398)". Lineage: Eukaryota; Viridiplantae; Streptophyta; Magnoliopsida; Poales; Poaceae. The record is from RNAcentral.